Molecule: long non-coding RNA, 231 nt
Filed under: Apteryx owenii (little spotted kiwi)
Lineage: Eukaryota; Metazoa; Chordata; Aves; Apterygiformes; Apterygidae
Description: lncRNA (ENSAOWG00000000175.1)
Source: RNAcentral
AGGCUCCAUGAUAGGUCCUUGGUAUUGGACACAUCCUCUGUUGUUCUCUUGCAGACUCCACAGCAGUACAACAUCAUGUGGAUCCUGACAGACGUGACCUCCGUGCUCCUCAUCUCACUCAUCUUUGCUCUGCACUGGUGGCGAGAGCGGAGUUUCUCCUGCUGCACCCACAACGGCAGCACGAUGCUGGAGAGUGGCACCUACAACAAGUUCAGGACAGAGCUCAGCGAC